GAUUUGGAGUGCUGGAGCGAAGAAGAGCAAAGGCUGCCUUUUGCGCGCGCCCGACUCCGCUGCCCGCCCCGCCAGGCCUCCGGGAGGUGGGGGCUGGGAGGCGUCCCCCGCUCCCGCCCCCUCCCCACCGUGCACUGAAAGAUGAACUGGCGAGAGAAAGCGUUUGAUUUAUGAGCGUAGGACGAAUCGCAUCCAGGAGCUGCGCAGCCCUGGCCGCGGCUGGGACGCCCUGCUCCGCGCUGAGCUUAGGGCCGGAAACCAGCCAUAGUCCCCACACUCCGCCGCCGCAGCUGGGAUUUAGCGGAGGAAGGGGCGAGGGAAGGUAGGGAGCAAACCUAUGAAGAAACAUCGCGUUGUCAUUGGAACUUUCAAGCCUUUGCUGUUAAGAGCCAGGUUCUUAAAUCAACCCGCCCCACACACAUGUUGCUUACAUGCUGCGUUUUCUCACGGUCUGUUUUGCCUGAACCCAUCAACAGCUGGGAGAUUAAUCAACCACACUGAAAAUGUGGAGGGCUUUAUGGGGGAGGGAGUUGAAAUGUGGAUGUUUGAAACAAAAGUGUGUAAAUAAAUGAAUUGUUGAUAACUUAGUUAUUGACCUGGAGACUGGUAGCUUAUUAAAGAAACUCCAUGUUACUCA
This 637-nucleotide antisense RNA is filed under the name Pongo abelii (Sumatran orangutan). The stretch from base 527 to 628 matches the Rfam family "HOX antisense intergenic RNA myeloid 1 conserved region 4". Lineage: Eukaryota; Metazoa; Chordata; Mammalia; Primates; Hominidae. The record is from RNAcentral.